GACGUAGGUGGCAAGCGUUGUUCGGAAUCACUGGGCAUAAAGCGCGCGUAGGCGGCUUUCUAAGUCGGGUGUGAAAUCCCUCGGCUCAACCGAGGAACUGCGCCUGAUACUGGAAGGCUUGAGGGCCGGAGGGGAGAGUGGAAUUCCCGGUGGAGCGGUGAAAUGCGUAGAGAUCGGGAAGAACGCCGGCGGCGAAAGCGACUCUCUGGUCGGUACCUGACGCUGAGGCGCGAAAGCUAGGGGAGCAAACGGG
RNAcentral lists this ribosomal RNA (253 nucleotides) under uncultured bacterium. Its description in RNAcentral is "partial 16S ribosomal RNA". It matches the Rfam family "Bacterial small subunit ribosomal RNA", at positions 524 to 776 of the family's 1533-position model. The record is from RNAcentral.